This 465-nucleotide ribosomal RNA is filed under the name Vreelandella stevensii. RNAcentral describes it as "partial 16S ribosomal RNA". It matches the Rfam family "Bacterial small subunit ribosomal RNA", at positions 338 to 795 of the family's 1533-position model. Lineage: Bacteria; Pseudomonadati; Pseudomonadota; Gammaproteobacteria; Oceanospirillales; Halomonadaceae. The record is from RNAcentral.
CCUACGGGGGGCAGCAGUGGGGAAUAUUGGACAAUGGGGGGAACCCUGAUCCAGCCAUGCCGCGUGUGUGAAGAAGGCCCUCGGGUUGUAAAGCACUUUCAGUGAGGAAGAACGCCUGGUGGUUAAUACCCAUCAGGAAAGACAUCACUCACAGAAGAAGCACCGGCUAACUCCGUGCCAGCAGCCGCGGUAAUACGGAGGGUGCGAGCGUUAAUCGGAAUUACUGGGCGUAAAGCGCGCGUAGGUGGCUUGAUAAGCCGGUUGUGAAAGCCCCGGGCUCAACCUGGGAACGGCAUCCGGAACUGCAAAGCUAGGGUGCAGGAGAGGAAGGUAGAAUUGCCGGUGUAGCGGUGAAAUGCGUAGACAUCGGGAGGAAUACGAGUGGCGAAGGCGGCCUUCUGGACUGACACUGACACGGAGGUGCGACAGCGUGGGUAGCCAACAGGAUUAGAGACACCAGUAGUC